Carassius auratus (goldfish) is the source of this 1717-nucleotide long non-coding RNA. RefSeq lists it as uncharacterized. The transcript has 7 exons. The record is from RefSeq and is a predicted model, not a curated record. NCBI's taxonomy places the organism in Eukaryota, Metazoa, Chordata, Actinopteri, Cypriniformes, Cyprinidae.
GCGAAUCAUUUGAAUCAGUUCGGGAGUUCGGAGCGGUUUCGUGAAUCAUUUGAGUCGGUUCGGGAGUUCAAAGCGGGUUCGCGAAUCAUUUGAGUCAGUUUGGAGAUCGCGAAUCAUACACAGCAAAAAUUGGAGUUUAUUUCAACACCCAAAGAGUAAUUUUAACACAUUCAGAGUAAAAUGGUGUUUGGUGUUGGAGUUAUUUCACAGAGUUGAUCAUCAGUGUUAAACAAACUCCACAGAGACGUAAUUAGACUCCGCCCACGCAUUUCCAAUCGUCGCUGGUGAAAUCCAUGAAGACGUUGCCAUUAUCCUCGUGUGGCUUUGAAAGUCAUUGAGAAAUUUUGCUUGCCACCUAAUGCAAAAGUUACAUACAAGGAUGCAACAGGGACAGAAGUCGAUGCAGAAAUAUUCAGCGACCUCAUUGGACAAGGCAAUGUGGUGCUGACUGUUUUCUCAAAUGAUGAAUUCUCAGGCUCUUUGUCUUCCAUAUCUGAGAAGUCUGACAAAAGCAACAGUUCAAGUGCAUCGACUGUAAUCUUUCAUGAGGUCCCUAACAAGAGACAAAGAAAAGAGGACACAUCUGCACUGUCUGCAAAACGGGCAACUCCCUACUUAAGCUAUCGGAGAACAGUAUGCUGUUUGCAUAGUGAUACUGUUCCCUCAAAGAUCCAUAUUCCAAGAAAGGCUACGAACACUUUUAUGAUGCUGCAAGCAACAUAGGAUACAUUGCUUGGCAUAUGAAAACAGUCCACAGGAAGAUGAGACGAGGAUCUUUGCCACUAGACAGCCCUCAUGAUGUUUCUCCAGGAGGCCCAAAAUGCCAAAAAGCUACUAAUUUUGAAGGGCAACUUGAUGGGAGUUCUUGCAGAGAGGCCAUGUCUUUGCUCAGCCAAACCACAGAGAAUUCCCUAAUAUUCCAAAAGAUGAGAGAGACCUUUCAGCAUCGCCAAGAGCUUAUUAAAGAUCCAGGCUCUAGUGUUGAUAUCCUCUCCACAUUCCCAUGAUUCAUAGAUACAAAAGGAAUAACAUGUUUUCACAAGAAUUCAAUUUGAGAACAUUGUUUAUAGUUUAAUAUCUUCUUAAAGGUUGGUCAAGACUUCACUCUCCUGUUUAACACUGAGACAUCCUCCAGGCUGCUUCAGAAGAGGGACACACUCUUCAGGCCAAAUGUCAUGAAAGACACCAAGCAACUUACUUCAACAGCAGAGAUGAGUCAGUUGUUGCUCUCAGCAGAAUGUCCUGAAGGAAGUGACCUUCAUGAGACAAUUUUUUCUUCAUGUGAAUUUCGUCUCUAGUUUACGACCGGGAAAUGGCAUCCCUUCUUUAACUGAUACAUCUCCUUCCACCAUCACCAGGAGGAUUGAAGUCUCCAAAAACAGUCCAUGUGAUGCUGCUGAAAGACUUGUAAUCUUUCAUAAGUCAUGCUGCAGUUUGGAGGAGCCCCUCAACAACAUCCAGCAUCAGCAUCCCUACCUCCUUGCUGUUGGACGCCAGAAAAGCAAGACUGAGUGCUUCUACAUCAUCUUGGAUAAGCAUCUCAUCUCAUCCCAUGCCAGGCAAACCGCUCCCUUGGAGCAUUUGAUGAACUUUUCAAGGCACAUUUUGAGUUAAAUUUGUCCUAUGAUGGUGCACUUCUGAACUUUUACACAUUCCUGCAGACACCCUGUAUAACAUUGAUGAAGGUAAAAUGAAGGAGUCUCCCAGGGUUAGAGAU